RNAcentral lists this ribosomal RNA (264 nucleotides) under Pseudo-nitzschia fraudulenta. RNAcentral's name for it is "partial Bacterial large subunit ribosomal RNA". It matches the Rfam family "Bacterial large subunit ribosomal RNA", at positions 2617 to 2892 of the family's 2925-position model. Lineage: Eukaryota; Bacillariophyta; Bacillariophyceae; Bacillariales; Bacillariaceae. The record is from RNAcentral.
CGUCGUGAGACAGUUCGGUCCCUAUCUGUUGUGGGCGUAAGAAAUUUGAGAGGCUCUGACUUUAGUACGAGAGGACCGAGUUGGACGAACCUCUGGUCUACCGGUUGUGGUGCCAACUGCACCGCCGGGUAGCUACGUUCGGUGAGGAUAAGCGCUGAAAGCAUCUAAGUGCGAAACCCUCCCCAAGAUGAGAUUUCUUUAUAAAGGUCGUUGUAGACGACAACGUUGAUAGGCUGCAGGUGUAAAGGCAGUAAUGUCAAAGCU